RNAcentral lists this long non-coding RNA (2546 nucleotides) under Triticum aestivum (bread wheat). Its description in RNAcentral is "long non-coding RNA (TAES_LNC008811)". The record is from RNAcentral. Lineage: Eukaryota; Viridiplantae; Streptophyta; Magnoliopsida; Poales; Poaceae.
AAGAGUAUGUAAUGAUUUGGCAUCCUCUGGCUUUCUAGUUGCAGAAUAGUAUCUAAUUAGUUGGCAACCUCAGUAAUUCUAGUUGCACAACAAUAUACAACUGGUUGACAUCCUCAUCUUCUCUAGUUGCACAAGAACUCAGAUUAGUCCCAUCUAAAAAAAUUGAGGAUUGCCCAACAGUAUCUAACGACUUGGCACCCUCGGGUUUUCUAGUUGCAGAAGAGUAUUUAUUUAGUUGGCACCCUCAGCAAUUCUAGUUGGACAACAGUAUCCAAGUAGUUGACAUCCUCAGCCUCUCUAGUUGCACAAGAAUUCAGAUUAAUCCCAUCUUAAAAAUUUUGAGGGAUUGCCCAACAGUAUCUAAUAACUUGGCACCCUCAGGUUUUCUAGUUGCAGAAGAGUAUCUAUUUAGUUGGCACCCUCUACAAUUCUAGUUGGACAACAUUAUCCAAGUAGUUGACAUCUUCAGCCUCUCUAGUUGCACAAGAAUUCAGAUUAAUCCCAUCUUAAUGUUAGGAUUAAUCUUGAUUAUGUAUUUGCAUUGUAUUUUCGUUUAGCAUGUAGUCUAGUGUAGGUUGAUGUUUGUCCCGUGAAGCUUCAGCUCAGCAUGCAGAGGAGGCGAGAUGUUGGGCUGCCGUGCGAUACGGCGAGCACGGCGAGAUGCCGAUGGCAGCGUGAGGCUGCAGUGCUACGCGAGGCAGCAUGGCCGUGUGAUGCGGCAAGCGCGUGAGAGGCUGGAGCGUGACGGGCUGCAUGAAGAGGUUGAACCGGGCGAUCCGGCAAGUCAUUAUCAGCUGUAUACAUGCUAGUUUGGUUGGGUCUAUGGCCGUUCAUGAGGCUGCCUAAGUACUGGCUGUGCAUGUAGUUCUGCAUGUUGAGGGGGUUAGAUGCAUAGUCGUUAGGAUCCUGCAGAGAUGCCUGGAGUAGGAUAAGGCCAGUUAGUGAGUGUGGUAGUGCAUGCAUGGAUUAGUUUGUUAGUGGCCGAGCGUGGCGGCCUGUUAGUUCGUGCGUGACUUAGUGGCCCGGCCAGGUUGUGCGUGAGGGCCAACAGUCUAUGUAUAUAUAUGUCACACUGAGCAAUGAGAAAAUAGAGGCCGUGAGGGCUCAAGAGAAAAGAUGUAGCACUUGUGGUUGCCAAGAAAGAGUACCUCUCGGCAAAGUUAGUUGUUUUUCUUCCUUGUUAUACAUGCGUGUGUGUGUGCAGUUUCACCAUGUGUGUGUGUGUUCUUGAGAGAAACCAUAGAAGAGAAGAAGAGAGGAACCCAAAGAGAGUUGUGGGAGGCAGCUCGAGGUAGAAGAAAAGCGGCGCUGCCAGAGGCGGCGCCAACACUUAAAAAAUCUGAGGAUUGCCCAAUAGUAUCUAAUGACUGGCACCCUCAGGCUUUCUAGUUGCAGAAGAGUAUCUAUUUAGUUGGCACCCUCUGCAAUUCUAGUUGGACAACAUUAUCCAAGUAGUUGACAUCCUCAACCUCUCUAGUUGCACAAAAAUAUCUCAUUAGUUGGCAUCAUCAGCAUUUCUAGUCGCACAAGAAUAUCUCAUUAGUUAUCAUCACUAGUAUUUCUAGUUGCAGAACAAACGGGAUAUCAAGUUGCCAUCCUCAACUUUUUAAUCUAGUUUUCCAGAGAACAAAUAUUUGUAUGUAAUGAUAACUAAUCACCUCUGCCUUUUUUUGCAAACCCCAAGAUAUUGUUCAAGGAAAUGGGAGUAAUGAAGCAGAUAAUGUUGAACGACAGUCACAAGCUGGCUACCUGAUGGAGACUGCCUGGUACGCCUCUCUCCUCCCUCUUCUUUACCACUUCCGUUCUUGCGUUCAUUGCUUUGCCAUGAUAGCUCUGUUUUGGAUCCAGGCUAGGACCCUUUCUUUCGUUGAGAAGAAGAAGAAGGAGCCCUGUGGAGAAGGAAGUGUGGGCGAGGGGUGCGUGGAGGCUUCGGGAGUUAGUGGGCUAUCAUGUGAUACCGAUUGGCCUUUGUUUUCUGAUUCUUCACGGAUUUUAGGGGUCGGAACGAAGUUUUCUUUAUGGGAACAGUGGGGACAAAAAGUUACCUUUUCCGUCCGGCCGCUCGCGAGCGCUAACAGGCCAACGGCCGCUAGCCAGACGCGUCCAAUAGAUUUUGGAGUGACAUUAGCACCUUAAAACGGACCUACAACCGUAGCAAAUUUUUGCUAUAGAGUGAUAAUGCUAGUAGUAUGGAGGGGAGCCGCUGAGGAGCAGAGGGGACGGCAGGUGGCCGCAACCAAGUGGAGAACCAUGGCCACUGCGAAGCUUUUGCAGAAGGAUGAAAGGGCAAAGAGCCGGGAGACGACGCAUUUUAUAUGUAAACUACCAACCUGUAACUGAACUCCACUUUCAGCUGCCGUUUCCAAAUUUCAUUAAUGGCACAUAGGAACGGCGAUGAACUCCAAUCGCCGCCGAUACCUCUUCCGACGCUAAACCUCCUGCAAACCACAUCGCUACAGGGCUAAACGGGUGCAUAGCAAGGAGUCGAUCGAGACAUAUACAAGAUACUCAAAGGCCAAUAGGCCCAAUUUAAUAGCAUACCGGAG